This 468-nucleotide ribosomal RNA is filed under the name uncultured bacterium. RNAcentral's name for it is "partial 16S ribosomal RNA". It matches the Rfam family "Bacterial small subunit ribosomal RNA", at positions 28 to 507 of the family's 1533-position model. The record is from RNAcentral.
GACGAACGCUGGCGGCGUGCUUAACACAUGCAAGUCGAACGGAAAGGCCCUGCUUUUGUGGGGUGCUCGAGUGGCGAACGGGUGGGUAACACGUGAGUAACCUGCCCUUGACUUUGGGAUAACUUCAGGAAACUGGGGCUAAUACCGGAUAGGAGCUCCUGCUGCAUGGUGGGGGUUGGAAAGUUUCGGCGGUUGGGGAUGGACUCGCGGCUUAUCAGCUUGUUGGUGGGGUAGUGGCUUACCAAGGCUUUGACGGGUAGCCGGCCUGAGAGGGUGACCGGCCACAUUGGGACUGAGAUACGGCCCAGACUCCUACGGGAGGCAGCAGUGGGGAAUAUUGCACAAUGGGCGGAAGCCUGAUGCAGCAACGCCGCGUGCGGGAUGACGACCUUCGGGUUGUAAACCGCUUUCGCCUGUGACGAAGCGUGAGUGACGGUAAUGGGUAAAGAAGCACCGGCUAACUACGUG